CAGCGCGGUUUAUAGGAGUACAGAUGUUAGACUUCCAAGGACUGAAAAGGGCCAUGUAUGUGCUUCCGAAAUUUUACACCAAAAGAGACUGAAUCAAAAGAAUCUUCCUAGUAAUUUUCACCAAUAUAAAGAAACAGAAAAACACACCAGCAGAAAAAAACGAUGGUUACCUGAUGACAUACAUCAUAUUUCCACACAGCAUGAUGAUUACCAAGAAGAUGAACAGGAAAAAAAGUUAUUGAACCCAGAAUUGCCAUUGGAUUUAGAUGUUCCUUACACACGAAACAUUGACGAAAACGUUGACGACAAGGCAAAUGCGAAAAUAUAUGAUGAUAAAGUUGAUAAGCAAAAUCCCAA
Ctenocephalides felis (cat flea) is the source of this 357-nucleotide long non-coding RNA. RefSeq lists it as uncharacterized. Lineage: Eukaryota; Metazoa; Arthropoda; Insecta; Siphonaptera; Pulicidae. The transcript is spliced from 3 exons. The record is from RefSeq and is a predicted model, not a curated record.